This is a long non-coding RNA of Carassius carassius (crucian carp), 609 nucleotides long. RefSeq lists it as uncharacterized. The record is from RefSeq and is a predicted model, not a curated record. NCBI's taxonomy places the organism in Eukaryota, Metazoa, Chordata, Actinopteri, Cypriniformes, Cyprinidae. The transcript has 2 exons.
UCUUAAGUGCGAAUUUUUGAUUUUGGAUUGUGUUUGUAUCUGUGACGUGACUGAGGGUCUGACUUAUGUCAGGAAUGCAGUAGCAGUGACUUACUCAUUUAGCCCGGCGACCAGAGCAAACAUAAUGUUAAGUGUGUAGGGAAAAUAUAACCAGUAGUAAUGAAUUUUUAUGCUUUAGUGAUCAAUGAAUGGUAAAAAGGGGGAAAUUGUGGUGGAAAAAUUCAUUUCACAUUGCUUCUGUAUACCCAUAUAUGCAUGUGUUUUUCUUUGAAUUACGUGUGGGUUCAGAAGGAUGACACCUGGGGGGAAAACAGAUGUCUGAGCAUGACCUGAGAGGGUCAUUGGGCCAUAUAGUGGGGGGACAAUGCCUGAGGAUGACCUGAGGGGGUCACCUAAGUCCUAAAUGUGUGAGAAACUACCCAUAGAGAGUGUUCCUUGUUAUGUGUGGAAAUUUACAGCUGCUAAGACUUUGUAACCUUGAGGCAGCAAAGGGAUAUAAGGUGGAGGACUGCCCUCUUCCUGGGUCGGUUUCACUCUGCAGGAACUCAGUGUUGCUGUAUGACUGUCUGACCUUCUUUGCAAAGAAUAAAAGCUUUCUUUUUAAUUAUA